CCCGCGAUCCGCGAGGCGGACAGCACUCGCCAAGAACGCGCAAGUGCUCGUAAAAAGAAGGAGGCCCCGCAAACAUCCCUUCAGGCUCCUCUAUCGCGUUCACGAGCCUUCACCGUGAUACGUUUUCUCCUAUCCCAAAUCGUGGAAAAAAUUCGACACGAAAAAGGGACCGCAAGUUUGAUUAUGGUGUGUAUUGUUCCAUGAACCGAGGAAGGAUCGACAGUGGUGGCGGAUCGAUUAUCAACAGACGAGGAGUCGCGUGUGACGGGAAUUUCAGGAUCGAUGUGACCGGCACUGAUGCCAGGAAUUCUGGCUGCGUGGCAACCAGUUGCGGAUGCGAACUGGGGUUGAGUAUAGAAUCCGUAUAAAGCUCACCAUGAAUGAUCCUUCGGCGUGAAAUCGUAUCGGGAAUCUCUGUCAAAAUUCAUCGGUGGAGGCUCGCGUGGAUUUUCAAAUCGUAGAGGUGCUUCUCGAGUAAUUUACUUAUUUUUUUUUUUGGUGGAUCGAUCUGGAGAGCGUGGCAGAUCGUCGAGCGUCGCGACUGCUGUUGAUUGCAAUUCGAAUGGAAAAGAGCUUUUAUUCAGCGAAAGAGAAUCAUUCUUAAAGUUCGCGAACGACCUGAUCUGUAUAUCGAGGAUAAACAACGAUCGUGUCACAUCGAUCCGAUUGGUAUAAGUUUACAAACGCGAUAUCGAAUCUCUUCAAUAUCUCCGUCGUUCAAAAUAUCACAACGUGCGCCUUAACGAUACCAAAAAAAAAGGGGAAAAAACGAAUGACACAGGCCUAACUUGGGAUCAACGGACUAUCGAUUUCAAAAAUAUCACGCGAUUUUCUAACACGUGAACGUCACGCAGCUUUUCUGAAAAGAUUUUUCAUACGUGUGCGACGAGUUAUAUACGCGCGCGCAUUAUUGAAAUGCACGUUUUCCUACAAAACAGCAGCGGCUGAAAGGUCGUGAUCGAUCGACUCAAUUUGAUAACCUCCGAAAGAAGGGGUACCUUAGGGUGUACCGUCAUGUAUAGCGAUAAGAUGAGAACUGAAAAGUAAAAUAGGUGAGAGAGUGAUAGGUACUCAAAGAACCCGUACGUGGUUUAUCUACGCCACGACAAGAUUUAUAAGUACUGCUACUUGAGCGAGCGUCUUUCGGACCUGAAGAUGCAGACACAGCGAUAAUCGAAUUGACCGCGAUCCCUUGCAUAAUGUCGUAUCAAGACCGUUCGCGAGAAUGGCGUUCUUCGAGCUUUACGACGCUGCAUCGAUUUCAAGAUCAUUCUUCGCGAUAUCCGUCAAAAUUUGGUGAGAAAGCUCGCGACAAUAAAAUGUUCGUCGGUCAAACGAUAAUCGUCAAUUAAAAAUCUCGAAUUAAUUGCACUCUUGCGACAAAUUAUUAUAAACCUCUAGUUUUGUAUAAAAAAUAAAGAAAAUAUUGUUCGAUGCAACCUUCAUCGAGUCAUACGAUAAAACUACUCGACUUCACAUCGCAUUUUCGAAGAUCGAGCUAGUAGACGGCCUCAUUCUCCAAUGUCUCCUAGAUGCGAAAGACGGAAACGCGAUCGAAUUCACUGGAUCCCGCGUCCCCUGCUGGACGAGUCAUCCACGAGGAAAACGAUGGUCGACAGAUGUCUGCUCGACAGUUGAUCCGCAGAGAAUCAACAACUCCAUAAAUAAGCACGGCCUAAGCGAUGAUCGGCCUGUAGAUUGGCGCGCUCGAUGAGUCGUCGCGGAAACGAGCAUCAAGAAGCAGCAGCGAGCACCAUCCGAACAAGAAGAAGAGGCAAGAGAAGAAGAAGACGAAGAAGAAGAGAAGCUUAUAGCCGCGUAGCAUCGUCUCCCUCUCGAAAGAGCCGCGUUCCGGGUGAUGCGCGGAAGUAGCUCCGAACUUCUGCUGGAGGCGAGCUGCAGCCAGUGCCAGAGCGAUCAGGGGCAUCGGCGUCGAGACAGCGACGACGGCGGCGGUGGCGAGGGGUACGACUUCUACGAGCGGGAGCUACGUCGUCGCAAACUGUUGGAGCUCGGGUUCGGCGCGUCGCGGCGCCGACCGCCACGGCGUACCUGCCGGCAGCGGCUUAACUUCUACGCCACGUCGGCUCUGGCCUUCGUCGCGACAUCCGGCGGUGCGGCGCUUCUCUUCCUGGUGCCGCUCUACGUCGAUCCGGCCAUCAGUACUCUGGCGGCGGACUUCUCGCCGCAGCCGGUCAUCUGCACGACCUCGCGACGUGAGGAACUUGCCGGUCUCUUCAACUGCACAUGGAGUUCGUGCCGCGAGGGUUGUACCAGUGAUGUGUACAGGUGCACCCACAUAUAUGUCACCUACACACCAUGGAGUAACGUCACGAUGAGGAACGACACUGGCGGCAGGAACACCACUGUCGCGACCAACGCCACGACUACUCUGGGCGCCGUCACUGCCGUAUCCUCCCCGGGGGACGUCGAGGCGGUGCUGCUGGUGAACAUCAAGGGCUGCGGAUACCCGCCGACAGUCGACUGCAAGAAUUUCACCCGCGAGUUGGGUUACGAGGGCGCGAAAUUUCCCUGUCAUUAUAGCCGGGUGAACGGCAGUAUAGUGAUGGCGAACUAUAAUCGCGAGGCACAGAUCACCAUCAUUAUGCACUUCUUCGCGGCGCCUUUCGUAGUGACUCUCGCGACCAGCGUCGCGCUGUGUGUGAUGCACUGUGACUGCAGAUGCACGCCGCCCCCGCGACAUCCUCCGCGCGGCAUGAGAAGAUCCAAGGGCAACGAUCUCAGCUGCUGCAUGAGUAUAAAAAAUCGAUAACGAGUUAGAAGCAUGCCAGAAGUCGUCCGUUUUAGAAGGUGUAUUUGAUGAGGCAAAUAAACUUUCUAAACCAUACAUAAGACAAAGCGACUUAACAAUGAGAUGUUACUCCAACUUAUCGUCGUCGUGAAACGACUGCUAAACUCUUUCGGCUGCGAAUACUGCCUUAGAAGAAAAGAGAGAAUCGCAGAAACGGAAAUCGGAUAUCGAUUCAUCAUCUCUCGUAAUCCUCCGCUAAUUAACACCAAAAGGCGCAUUCAUCUCAUUAACAAAACGAGUGCGCCACCCGAAAGCCGUGACUGCGCUCUUCGUGCAACGCAAUGAACAUGUGUAAAAAGAGAUCUCUAGAGUUAUCGAUCGGACGCCGUAAGUAAUUUCGUGCACUCGGAAUAAUCGACAGCCCUCACGGUUGAUAUGUUGCGUAAACGAGCAUACAGCCGCUGCGCCUAACUCUGAUAAUCCAUCAUUCUUUCGAAUGUUUUCUCUCUCCUUGUGAUUUUUUCUCCAAUCGCUGAAAUAGUCAGCGAAAUAGUCAUAUAAGUCAUGCCUUUUCCUCUUGCAGAAAAAAGAUUUUAUACAAGUAUUUUAUGUAAAAUCUAGUAAUUUUCCAAUUAUCUUAUAGCUUUUUCCAGG
RNA transcript from Cataglyphis hispanica, 3406 nucleotides. RefSeq lists it as uncharacterized. The transcript has 4 exons. Lineage: Eukaryota; Metazoa; Arthropoda; Insecta; Hymenoptera; Formicidae. The record is from RefSeq and is a predicted model, not a curated record.